GCCCCGUUAGCUCAGCUGGUAGAGCAGUUGCCUCUUAAGCAAACGGUCGGGGGUUCGAAUCCCUCACGGGGCACCA
This 76-nucleotide transfer RNA is filed under the name Candidatus Vogelbacteria bacterium. Its description in RNAcentral is "tRNA-Lys". It matches the Rfam family "tRNA". Rfam says of the family: Transfer RNA (tRNA) molecules are approximately 80 nucleotides in length. Their secondary structure includes four short double-helical elements and three loops (D, anti-codon, and T loops). Further hydrogen bonds mediate the characteristic L-shaped molecular structure. tRNAs have two regions of fundamental functional importance: the anti-codon, which is responsible for specific mRNA codon recognition, and the 3' end, to which the tRNAs corresponding amino acid is attached (by aminoacyl-tRNA synthetases). tRNAs cope with the degeneracy of the genetic code in two manners: having more than one tRNA (with a specific anti-codon) for a particular amino acid; and 'wobble' base-pairing, i.e. permitting non-standard base-pairing at the 3rd anti-codon position. Lineage: Bacteria; Candidatus Vogeliibacteriota. The record is from RNAcentral.